UUUCCGUAGGUGAACCUGCGGAAGGAUCAUUCAUAAUAAGUGUUUUAUGGCACUUUUUCAAAUCCAUAUCCACCUUGUGUGCAAUGUCAGGGUUGAUUUUUCUCUCGAGAGGAUCAACCCCAAACAUCAACUAUAUCUCAACUCUUUGUCUGAAAAAUAUUAUGAAUAAAACAAUUCAAAAUACAACUUUCAACAACGGAUCUCUUGGCUCUC
RNAcentral lists this unclassified non-coding RNA (213 nucleotides) under plant metagenome. RNAcentral describes it as "partial contains small subunit ribosomal RNA, internal transcribed spacer 1, and 5.8S ribosomal RNA". The record is from RNAcentral.